GGAAGGAUCAUUACCGAAUUGUCAAACAUGGGUUGUUGCUGGCCCCCGAACGGGGCAUGUGCACGCUCUGUUUACACAUCCACUCACACCUGUGCACCCUCUGUAGUUCUGUGGACCGGGAGACGUCGUCUUCCUUCCGUAGCUCUACGUCUUUACACACACACCGUAGCGAUGUCUCAUGGAAUGUUUUUUCGCGUUUAACGCAAUACAAUACAACUUUCAGCAACGGAUCUCUUGGCUCUCGCAUCGAUGAAGAACGCAGCGAAAUGCGAUAAGUAAUGUGAAUUGCAGAAUUCAGUGAAUCAUCGAAUCUUUGAACGCACCUUGCGCCCCUUGGUUAUUCCUCGGAGCAUGCCUGUUUGAGUAUCAUGAACACCUCAACUCUCAUGGUCUUCCAUGAUGAGCUUGGACUUUGGGGGUUUGCUGGCCUUGUGGCCGGCUCCUCUCAAAUGAAUCAGCUUGCCAGUGUUUGGCGGCGUCACGGGUGUGAUAACUAUCUACGCUUGUGGUCGUCCACCAGGUAACCCUCAGCGAUGAAGGUUCAUUGGGGCUCAUAAACGUCUCUCCCCAGCGAGGACAACUUUUGAACGUUCGAUCUCAAAUCAGGUAGGACUACCCGCUGAACUUAAGCAUAUCAAUAAGCGGAGGAAAAGAAACUAACAAG
Molecule: ribosomal RNA, 664 nt
Filed under: uncultured fungus
Lineage: Eukaryota; Fungi
Description: eukaryotic LSU rRNA
Rfam family: 5.8S ribosomal RNA (bases 215-369)
Source: RNAcentral